This 259-nucleotide ribosomal RNA is filed under the name uncultured bacterium. RNAcentral describes it as "partial 16S ribosomal RNA". It matches the Rfam family "Bacterial small subunit ribosomal RNA", at positions 333 to 608 of the family's 1533-position model. The record is from RNAcentral.
GCAACCCUACGGGACGCAGCAGUGGGGGAUAUUGCACAAUGGGGGGAACCCUGGUGCAGCGACGCCGCGUGGGUGAAGGAGCGUUUUGGCGCGUAAAGCCCUAUCGGCAGGGAAGAAGGAGGACGGUACCUGACUAAGAAGCCCCGGCUAACUACGUGCCAGCAGCCGCGGUAAUACGUACGGGGCAAGCGUUAUCCGGAUUUACUGGGUGUAAAGGGGGCGCAGACGGCAGCGCAAGCCCGGAGUGAAAGCCCGGGGC